AGUGAACGCUGGCGGUAGGCCUAACACAUGCAAGUCGAACGGCAGCACAGUAAGAGCUUGCUCUUACGGGUGGCGAGUGGCGGACGGGUGAGGAAUACAUCGUAAUCUACUUUUUCGUGGGGGAUAACGUAGGUAAACUUACGCUAAUACCGCAUACGACCUACGGUUGAAAGCAGGGGAUCUUCUGACCUUGCGCGAUUGAAUGAGCCGAUGUCGGAUUAGCUAGUUGGCGGGGUAAAGGCCCACCAAGGCGACGAUCCGUAGCUGGUCUGAGAGGAUGGUCAGCCACACUGGAACUGGGACACGGUCCAGACUCCUAAGGGAGGGCGCAGUGGGGAAUAUUGGGCAAUGGGGGGGAACCUGAUCCAGCCAUACCGAGUGGGUGGAGAAGGCCUUCGGGUUGUAAAGACCUUUUGUUGGGAAAGAAAAGCAGCAGGUUAAUACCCCGCUGUUCUGACGGUAACCAAAGAAUAAGCACCGGCUAACUUCGUG
RNAcentral lists this ribosomal RNA (492 nucleotides) under uncultured bacterium. RNAcentral describes it as "partial 16S ribosomal RNA". It matches the Rfam family "Bacterial small subunit ribosomal RNA", at positions 29 to 507 of the family's 1533-position model. The record is from RNAcentral.